GCCACACACUCGUUAGUUGUGAGCUCAACUGGGAUUGAGAGUACAAUUGUCCCGCAUAUCAUUCAUUCCAUUAGCUAAUCGCUUCUGUUGCGAUCCUUGGUGGUUCAACCCAUUUGUUCUUUCAUAUCAAUCGUAGUACAACCCAAUCGCUCUUAAGUUGACUUCUCAUACUUAUAGAUUAUGAUUCUCAAUUAUUUGGCUAAGAUAACUUCCAUCGUUGAGCCUCCCUCUACUGAUUCCAAUCACAUUUCUUAACUUUGUUUUCUCUCAUUAUUUGUUGUCAUUUGCUCAACAAGUAUUUAUAUAAAUCAUCCCAAAUCAACUCCCACUUUUCAGAUUUCCAUGGAUAUAAAAAGAAAUGGUGGCUCAUCAUUCGUACCAUUUCUUUUGUUGAUGGGCAUGAAUUACGGGUCAUUAUGAACUCACCAACAAGCAACCAACCAUUUUGACUCCUUGUUAGUACUUAAAAGUUAACAACUUUAAUCAUCUUCUACUAGAUAAAAUAAGUUGUGUUUUCAAAGUUCAUGUGUAAAGCAAAAGAGAUUGUCUUAUAGUGACUUUAACAUAGAUUACACUCCCAUUGUGAAAUAAUAUAUAACUAUAUUUAUAUCAACUAUAUAUUACAUAUAUAACAAAACCCUAAAAUAAAGUUAAGUUGUCCAAAAUAACAAACUAGCGUCCUCCUUGAAAAAUUAUAAAAAUUUCAAGUUAGAUUGUCUUGGAUUUUAGGAUGUAUUAAGGCUAUCUCCAUGUAUUAGAGAAUAUAAGAAAUUCUAUUUAACAAUUUAAAAAAUUAUAAGAUUUUUUUGUAGCCUUAUCCUUGCAAUUGAAGUAGGAGAUUAAAUCCGAAACUCUUGUCGAAAUUGGGCAAGCAUGCUAGCCUGAAAAGAUUGGUUCCGUCGGAAAACAAGAGGGGUUGGUCAAUAUCGGUUUCAGAAAGUUUCAAAUUGAAAACUUUAAAAAAUUAUUUAUAAGUCGAUCAACCCAAUUAAUAUCAACUGACACUUACUCAUCAAUGUCGAUUUUGUAAAAAAUACCAUCUCCGACCGACCGAUUAACACCGAAGUCGGGAACUUACGCAUACUAGAUAAGUGUAGAGUAUAUAUAUCUUUUUCAAAUUUGAUUAAAUUACCAAAUAUUAUAUCCAAUUCUCUCUCUACCCUUUUUUUAUCUGCGUUCCCGCCCGCUCGGUGAACUCAUUUGCGCAGCUCUUUCCUCUUUCUCUUCUUUGUCUUCCUCUCGGCUUCACAAUCUUCAUCGUCAAUCUUUGAUCCAGCCUAAGAAGGCGCUGUACAUUAUAGGGUUUUAAGUAGAAGGUGAGUUUUCAGAUUGCUUUUAUAUCUUCUGUCAAGCUAUGAUGCUUUUGUACUUAUCGACCACUUUCUCAUGCAAGAAUAUUUGAGUUUGAGAAUUAUUUGCUGAAAUUUUUAUGGGUUUAUGGAGUAUUUUCUACUUUGUUUUGGCGGAGUUGAGUUUGCUUCUUAGGUGUAGAGAAGUUUGUUCAGUGUUGUUUUUGUUUUUGAGGCUACAACUCAAUGAAAAAACUCAUUGUGUUCAUGGAAUUAGGGUUUAUCUUGUUUAAUGGGGAACAGGCAUGUUUGGUAUUGAUUUGUGCAUUGUACUGGUAGUCGAGAUCGCAUUGCCAUCUUACAGUUGCUUAUUCUUUUUUUUCUUAUUUUCUUGAUAGUUAUUAGACAAUUGAAACCUCAUAAUUCAACCAAAAUUAAUUCACUUUUACAAAUAUUAGUUUUAGUAGUUUUUUAUUUUACUCAUUUGGUCAUAUAUUUCUUUUCUUUUGGAAUGGAUGUGUAAUUUUAUUUUUGUUGGAUGGUUUGAAAUAUUUAGGUUCAUGUUGUCAUUCUUCUAGUUUUAUUUUUGAAUAAUUAUAAUUUGUGACAAUUUUUAGAAUAAUGACUAAGUGUAGUAAUUAGAGGUUUAAGAAUAACUUGGGUAAUCCAACAACUUGGAUUAUCCAAUCCAUAUUAUAUGGGUUGGGUUGGGUUAGGUUAAAAUAUGGAUUGGAUUGGGUUGGGUUGAAAAAAAUGAAUUUUUUUUAGUUGGGUUUAGUCUCGGGUUGUAAGGUUGAAAAAUUCGAUCAUAUAUAUAUAUAUAUAUAUAAAUAAAUAUUCCUCUCUUCUCACUCUCAAUCCUCCUUUGCGCGUCGCAUCCCUUUUAUUCUCACAUCUCCUACGUCUUCGACAUCUCCUUCGUCUCUUACUUUCCUUCAUCUCUGACUCUCCUUGUCCUACUUAUCCCGCGCAUUCCUUAUAUUAUCACAUCUCCUCCGUCUUCGACAUCUUCAUUUCUAACUCUCCUCUAUCUUUGAUCUUCACAGUUCAUCUCGUUAGAUCUCAGAUCUCAUAUACUCGCAGUUCGACGUCAUGUUCUUCUUUGUCAAUCUCUUCAGCUUCUGAAUAACCCGACAAUCCAAUUUAUAUUUUAUGGGUUGGUUUAGAAACUUGAUUUAACCCAAAUAACCUAAAAGUAUGGGUUUGGUUGAGAUGUUUCUCAACCCAACCUUACUACACCCUUAACAGCAACUUUUUUAAAAAUUGCAGAUAUAGCAAAAUUCUUUAGUGAUAAACUUCUAUCGCUCAUAGAUUAUUAUGGUCUAUCAUGAUUGAUUUUGACAGAUUUUGCUUUAUUUGUAAAUUUUUUAAAAUGUUGCUAUAUAUUUAAUUAUUUUAAAUUUAAUUACUAUAUUUGCAACUAUUCUUUUAUUUUGUGUGGUUCUUCUAUUAUUUGGUACACUUUAUAUAUUAUUAUUUUCUUUGGUUUUAUUAUAUUAUGAGAUAUAUUCUGUUAAUUUUGUGCAAAAUACUCUACACAUAUUUUACUUGCUAUAUGUUUCUUUUCUUUGAUUCUUCCAUUUAUCUUUUAAUUCUCUUUUGAAUAUUUAUUUUCUUGAAAAUCUUGGAUUGUAUUUUGUGGAUUUUUUUUCUUAACGUGCACUUCAUCUUUUGAGGUCAAAUGUUUAAUCUAUCAUUUGAUUUAUGUAUCAUGGUCUUAUUUAAGAACGGAAGAGUUCACUACAUUCGAAAAAUCAAGACUCUGUUUACGAACUCUUUCCAAAACACUUCUUGGACGUUUCUUUUUGUUUUUGUUUUUGUUUUUUUCUUUGAAAAAUAAGAUAUUUUACAAAACUUUUGAAAAACUGCAUGAGCAAGGAUGUUGGCCACACACAGGGCAAUGAGCAGCAAGGCAACAUGCACCAUGGUGCGCGGAAGAUGUUGUCUUGGUGCCAUCUUUGCACAUGCGGAAGCGAACUUUCAAAUGGCAUUUACAAAACAUUGGGAAAACACUUUUUUUUCUUCCUAUUUUCUUCUAGAAAGUCUUUCCAGAACAUAUGUAUAUAUAUGUGUGUGUAUAUACAUAUAUAUUUGCAAAAUCUCUCGUUUAAAAGGUCUAUACAAGAACAUGUUCUAAAAGUUUUCUCGCUUCAAAUUCUGUUUACGAACUCUUUCCAAAACACUUCUUGGACGUUUCUUUUUGUUUUUGUUUUUGUUUUUUCUUUGAAAAAUAAGAUAUUUUACAAAACUUUUGAAAAACUGCAUGAGCAAGGAUGUUGGCCACACACACGGCAAUGAGCAGCAAGGCAACAUGGCCACACACUCGUUAGUUGUGAGCUCAACUGGGAUUGAGAGUACAAUUGUCCCGCAUAUCAUUCAUUCCAUUAGCUAAUCGCUUCUGUUGCGAUCCUUGGUGGUUCAACCCAUUUGUUCUUUCAUAUCAAUCGUAGUACAACCCAAUCGCUCUUAAGUUGACUUCUCAUACUUAUAGAUUAUGAUUCUCAAUUAUUUGGCUAAGAUAACUUCCAUCGUUGAGCCUCCCUCUACUGAUUCCAAUCACAUUUCUUAACUUUGUUUUCUCUCAUUAUUUGUUGUCAUUUGCUCAACAAGUAUUUAUAUAAAUCAUCCCAAAUCAACUCCCACUUUUCAGAUUUCCAUGGAUAUAAAAAGAAAUGGUGGUGGCUCAUCAUUCGUACCAUUUCUUUUGUUGAUGGGCAUGAAUUACGGGUCAUUAUGAACUCACCAACAAGCAACCAACCAUUUUGACUCCUUGUUAGUACUUAAAAGUUAACAACUUUAAUCAUCUUCUACUAGAUAAAAUAAGUUGUGUUUUCAAAGUUCAUGUGUAAAGCAAAAGAGAUUGUCUUAUAGUGACUUUAACAUAGAUUACACUCC
Molecule: long non-coding RNA, 4184 nt
Filed under: Cucumis sativus (cucumber)
Lineage: Eukaryota; Viridiplantae; Streptophyta; Magnoliopsida; Cucurbitales; Cucurbitaceae
Description: long non-coding RNA (CSAT_LNC002106)
Source: RNAcentral